This 28-nucleotide non-coding RNA is filed under the name Cricetulus griseus (Chinese hamster). The record is from RNAcentral. Lineage: Eukaryota; Metazoa; Chordata; Mammalia; Rodentia; Cricetidae.
GACUGAAAGAAAGAACUGAGCACAAGCG